ACGUGGAUUUACAACUGCACAACUUGAAGAUUUUAGACAGUGUUUCUUACAAAUCCAAAAGAUUCCUUGUCCAAUGAGGCUGUACAUCAAACCCGGAGUAUUAACCUACACCCUCAGGAAUACUCAAGAGGUAAUGAUAAGCCGUGAUAGGAAAGAUGUUCCAACUUAAUGGAAGAGAGCCCGUGAGAUGCACUGCAGCAUCAUCAUGAAUUCAAAUAUGCCAUCUCCUCACUGCCUCAAGUUUCUUCACUGCCUCAUGUUUCUUCAGUUGAGCUUGGCUUUUUGUUCACUCCUAGGACUUGAAGGACACUGAGGAUGGGGGCCGAGCCUUGGUAUGAAAGAUGCACCGAUUUGACUGCUGGGAGCCUGUGAGAUGCUGCCUCGUGGUAUGAAAGAUGCACCGAUUUGACUGAUGGGAGCCUGUGAGAUGCUGCCUCGACAUGAUUUCAACUACGUCAUCUCGUCACCGUCUCAAGCUAAUUCAGUUCAACUGCUGUCUCGUCAUGAUUUCAAAUACGUAAUCUCGUCACCGUCUCAAGCUAAUUCAGUUCAACGUUGUGAUUCAUUCAAUACUAAGAUGUUAAGGUACGUCUCACGUAGUGCGUUUUACCAAUUGUACAAAGGUCUAUUUACAUGGACGCUUAUAAAACCACUCACACAUCAGUCUUUACUGUUUACAAAUUGGUAACCAAAGUUGUUAUUUAUUUCAAAAGCCUUGAGUUUGCUUUAAAGCAAAGUGUAUUGUGUAAACAGAUCUUUACCAUGUACAGUCCGAUGUGGCUGUUUUUGUUAUGAAGUGAAUACCUUUGCUGAUUAAUGUCAAGUACAUUUUGCAAUUCCCUUGAAUCAUCAGGCCUGAUACUUUGCGGAGACAAAUUACGCAGCAAUUGCCUCCAUGCACACGGCCUUGGUCAUUGCCUCGGUGCCCAUUGAAAUGUUCCGCUACUAAUUCAAACUUCCCUGAUGCCUUGCCCUUACAAGAAUGAAACAUCAGGCCUGAAUCAUUGGUUAGGAAAUCAAAGCGCCAAACUAGCUGUGACUAAACAUACUUCACUGAAUACAAAGCAAUGCAGUGAAAAUCAUGCAAUCUUGUUGUACGUAUGUCAAAUUAUCACUACUUUUACACAGGUCAGAGUUAAAAAAAAACGUUUUAAAUACUUAGUUUGAUACUUAUAUGUGGUUAAUUUGAUGAAUUGGUAUCACGCGUGAUGAUAUUUAUCUGCAAAACAUUGUCCGAAGUGAGCAUUGCCUUCAUUUUAAACAUAAUUCAAAUAUAUGGAAACUCAGAGGGAACAUCUGCAUUUGCAUUAAGUUUAUUGUUACGUACUGUACUGCAUCUUUAAAUCUUUUUUUUCAUGAAAAUUAGAUAUCGCAAAUCCAUGAGAACCCCAAAAUACAUACUUGUCUUAUUUGUUUUAUGUUUCUUUGAUGUAUUUAAAUUGGAAACUUGGCAAUGAAAAUGGUCAUUUUAAGCCUCCAUACAAUUUUCGGGUUUAUUUUUGACAACUUUCAAAGUCUGAUUCCCCGUCUCUUAGUGCUUAUACAGCACUAUUUCUCAGUGUAGGUGCCAGACUAAUUUCUUCUAAACUUGUUUGGAUUAUUCCUACAUGACACACUUAGCAGAUGCUUUAUCAAGGUUUAUUGUGUGUAAAUGGCCCUUUUUAAACGAGCUUAUUUGAUAAGACAGCUUCGGAAUUCACAGUUAAGCUGCGCAUACCAUUUUGUAUUACUUAAAAUAAGCAAUUUGAAGGUUGGAAGUCACGAACGUGUGUUCUGUGCAAUUGAUGCAAUUGUUGUAAAUAAGAGUAAGCACCUACAAUUAUAUAUGCUAAGUGUAGUUAUAGAGUCAUUAUAAGCAAUUGUUUAUUAAAAACGACACUUUCCUGUGGAUUUGUUUGUCAUAAGAAUGCGUAUUUCAUGUAGAAUGUUAAUAAGACACUCUCGAGUGUAUUCCGCACUGUUUAAAGGGUGUUUUGAAGGUUUUGACUCUCAAGUUUUGUAAUUUUCAGUGAUUUUUAGAGUUUUUUUAGGCAAAAAAAAAAUUU
Long non-coding RNA from Asterias rubens (European starfish), 2045 nucleotides. RefSeq lists it as uncharacterized. Lineage: Eukaryota; Metazoa; Echinodermata; Asteroidea; Forcipulatida; Asteriidae. The record is from RefSeq and is a predicted model, not a curated record. The transcript is spliced from 3 exons.